UAGGGAAUCUUCCGCAAUGGGCGAAAGCCUGACGGAGCAACGCCGCGUGAGUGAUGAAGGUCUUCGGAUCGUAAAACUCUGUUAUUAGGGAAGAACAAAUGUGUAAGUAACUAUGCACGUCUUGACGGUACCUAAUCAGAAAGCCACGGCUAACUACGUGCCAGCAGCCGCGGUAAUACGUAGGUGGCAAGCGUUAUCCGGAAUUAUUGGGCGUAAAGCGCGCGUAGGCGGUUUUUUAAGUCUGAUGUGAAAGCCCACGGCUCAACCGUGGAGGGUCAUUGGAAACUGGAAAACUUGAGUGCAGAAGAGGAAAGUGGAAUUCCAUGUGUAGCGGUGAAAUGCGCAGAGAUAUGGAGGAACACCAGUGGCGAAGGCGACUGUCUGGUCUGUAACUGACGCUGAUGUGCGAAAGCGGGGGGAUCAAACAGG
Molecule: ribosomal RNA, 429 nt
Filed under: Actinomycetes bacterium
Lineage: Bacteria; Bacillati; Actinomycetota; Actinomycetes
Description: Actinobacteria bacterium partial 16S ribosomal RNA
Rfam family: Bacterial small subunit ribosomal RNA
Source: RNAcentral